Molecule: ribosomal RNA, 255 nt
Filed under: uncultured bacterium
Lineage: Bacteria
Description: partial 16S ribosomal RNA
Rfam family: Bacterial small subunit ribosomal RNA
Source: RNAcentral
UACGUAGGGUGCAAGCGUUGUCCGGAAUUAUUGGGCGUAAAGAGCUCGUAGGCGGUUCGUCACGUCGGCUGUGAAAUCCCGAGGCUCAACCUCGGGUCUGCAGUCGAUACGGGCGGACUGGAGUACUGCAGGGGAGACUGGAAUUCCUGGUGUAGCGGUGAAAUGCGCAGAUAUCAGGAGGAACACCGGUGGCGAAGGCGGGUCUCUGGGCAGUAACUGACGCUGAGGAGCGAAAGCGUGGGGGAGCGAAACAGG